Molecule: ribosomal RNA, 492 nt
Filed under: uncultured bacterium
Lineage: Bacteria
Description: partial 16S ribosomal RNA
Rfam family: Bacterial small subunit ribosomal RNA
Source: RNAcentral
AGUGAACGCUGGCGGUAGGCCUAACACAUGCAAGUCGAACGGCAGCACAGUAAGAGCUUGCUCUUACGGGUGGCGAGUGGCGGACGGGUGAGGAAUACAUCGGAAUCUACUUUUUCGUGGGGGAUAACGUAGGGAAACUUACGCUAUUACCGCAUACGACCUACGGGUGAAAGCAUGGGAUCUUCGGACCUUGCGCGAUUGAAUGAGCCGAUGUCGGAUUAGCUAGUUGGCGGGGUAAAGGCCCACCAAGGCGACGAUCCGUAGCUGGUCUGAGAGGAUGAUCAGCCACACUGGAACUGAGACACGGUCCAGACUCCUACGGGAGGCAGCAGUGGGGAAUAUUGGACAAUGGGCGCAAGCCUGAUCCAGCCAUACCGCGUGUGUGAAGAAGGCCUUCGGGUUGUAAAGCACUUUUGUUGGGAAAGAAAAGCAGCAGGUUAAUACCCCGCUGUUCCGACGGUACCCAAAGAAUAAGCACCGGCUAACUUCGUG